GGGAUGUUAGUUAAAUAAUAACAUCAUCUUGUCGAGAUGAAGCUAUGGGUUGGACCCCCAUAUAUCCCC
RNAcentral lists this transfer RNA (69 nucleotides) under Osteocephalus mimeticus (Henle's slender-legged treefrog). Its description in RNAcentral is "tRNA-Asp". Lineage: Eukaryota; Metazoa; Chordata; Amphibia; Anura; Hylidae. The record is from RNAcentral.